RNAcentral lists this ribosomal RNA (234 nucleotides) under uncultured bacterium. RNAcentral's name for it is "partial 16S ribosomal RNA". It matches the Rfam family "Bacterial small subunit ribosomal RNA", at positions 15 to 244 of the family's 1533-position model. The record is from RNAcentral.
GAUCAUGGCUCAGGACGAACGCUGGCGGCGCGCCUAACACAUGCAAGUCGAACGAGAGAUGAAGAGCUUGCUCUUCAAAUCGAGUGGCGAACGGGUGAGUAACGCGUGAGGAACCUGCCUCAAAGAGGGGGACAACAGUUGGAAACGACUGCUAAUACCGCAUAAGCCUACGGCUCGGCAUCGAGCAGAGGGAAAAGGAGUGAUCCGCUUUGAGAUGGCCUCGCGUCCGAUUAG